GUGGACAAUAUUUAAAGAUGGAAGGUAACAUCCAGGAAGAGGUCCGGGGGUGUUGCUUUAGAAGGGAAUCAAGGUGCUUUCUGUUCCUGCAGCUACUUAUAAUAGUGGGAAGGACCAAGCAAAGAGACCAAGGCUGCCUCUCUGCCCAUUUACUUGGAAGUAAGUCCCACUGAAUUCAGUUAAUUUUACUUCGGAGUAAACUUGCACUUUUGGGAAUACAGUACUGCAAUCCCCAGGCACACUUAAUUGGGAGUAAACCCAACCGAAGCCUACGUGGGAAUUUGGCGUAUACUCGCUUCCGAUGGGGCUGGAAGUCUCCGGAGGUUUUGCUUCCGAGUAAACAUGCAACAGGCUCGGUUUACAGAGUUUGAAAAUGCCACUGAUUUCACGCGCUUUACCUCUCUCCCAUUUCAAAUCGAAGCGAUUGCCAGGAAGCUUAAAAGUGCGGGAUCGUGCCCCUUUUCAGAGGAGUCUUAACUGAGAGGAUGGAGACGAGGAAUCACCUACAGACGGCUGGAUAGAGACAGUCUCCGGCAAGAAAAGAAACCCUGUUGUUUAGAAGCUGGUUUCCUACUUUUAAAACGAUUUCCACUUUCAGCUAAUAAGCUAUAUUAUGCGUUGGAAGAGUUUGGAAGACUCGAGAAGUGCUAACAUGCACUUACCCAAUUUUUGAUUUAAUAUGCCUUGAUGUGCAGGUUUGCACGAAAGCGAGGCAUUACCUUGUAGCCGUUUCUUUUAAUAAUAAUAACAAUCCUCCAACGAAAUACUGUGGAUGCGUUGAACAAACGCACAGAAAAGCAAGAGGAAGAGAAGCAGGACGUUUGGAAAUCGAUUACACUCUUCUUUGUUUUGCUUUAAGGGAAGGGCAGGCAGAAAUUUAGUCUCUGAAUACAUCCUUUUUUUUAACGCAGAAAUGCCUCCGUUCAAAACUGUUUUUUAAUCGGCUUUAGAAUAAACGGGGGCGGCGGCGGGGGUUCGUCUAAAAGGGUCCAUCCGGUGUUAAUUACGGCUUCCAAAAGCCUGGAAACGCCUCCAGAUUCGUUGUAUUCUUCCCCACUUUUCAAAAGCAGGAGCAGGCAGCCUGAAGUGGCUGCGGGAUCGCGGUUGAUUGCUAAACGUUUCUUGCCCGGGCGUUUUGCAAAAGAAGAAGAAAACCCGUUUAUAGGACUAUUUUAAGUUUUUCCAUGCCAGAUCUGAAAACUCACCGCCCUUCUCCCCUCCUCCUCGCACCCCAAGGACAUAAAUGCACACACACACACAAAAAGGUUGGUCCGGGUUUGUUCAAAGGUAGCUACUGUUCCUUUUUUUCCACCAGCUUUCUAACAGCUGAAUUUUUUUUAGUAACAUUGUAGAUGUAGGCUAGAAAGACCCCUCCCCAACCCAAGACUGCAAACCCGAUCUGCUUGUUUUGCCCCCUCCCACCCUGCCCUCCGAAAUAUUAAAGCCUCCGGGUAACUCUCUCCCACCCACAAGCGAACAAAAAUUAACCUAAAUCGGUUUUUUCCUUUUCUUUUUCUUUUUUGCUGCAUUUCUAAAGCCAUAGAUACGUCGUCUGACAAAGGGUUGAUUUUUUUUUAAAGAGAAUUUUAUUUACAGGUACUAGUUCACAAGUUAUUAGGAUGCAGCCAUGAUGCCCUACUCAGAGUAGACCCAUUGACAUCAUUGACCAGCCGUGUCUAUUCAUUUCAUAGGUCCUACUUCUGAGUAGGACUGAGGUCGGCUACAGACCCAUGAUUAAGUUCCCAAUCAUGACAAUUAUGCAGACAAUCGCCUAAUUUAUGGUAAUUAACAGUCAGAGAGAGCAAAUAUUAUAACGAGCUUCAAACGACCCCAACACGACCGCCUCCUUUUUCCUGCUGUUGAUAGAAACGUAAUUAGCCAAAUGCAUCACCCGAAAAAGAGGGUUUUUAUGGGGGCGGGGAGAAACAAUAAUUUCUUAUGGGAUUUGGAAAAUCCACCAGGAUUUUAAUUUUAUUUUUAAUUAAAGUUUUAAGGGACCAGGAAGGAGCAAUGGAAAGAUGGGCUCUAUCCGAGAGACGCUGCUUCCCCCAGCUGGUUUAAAACCGGCAUUUAUUGCAGCAAACAAUAAUAUCUAUUAAAUGAAUACAGAGCGUUUAAGCCAAAGCGCGUUUUGCCUCUCCAAAAAAGCUCCCCUGGCUGCCUAGCCGGAUUUGAAAAAUAAAUGCCGCAGCGGUGAGGCUUGCCUCCGAGUAGACCCGCUGCCGGCCAGCUGCCGAAAACCUGUAACGACGUUCAGUUAUUUCCAGCAAACGGCUGCGGAGAAUGGUUUAAAAUGAAAUAAAAUAAGAAGAGAUGAAGACAUUCUUAAAAGGCGAGGAGCAGUAAGCAUUUGGGUUGGUGAUCCAGCAGAAAGUUCCACUUUACUCCAACCUUACACAGAAAUCUUCAAAGUCUGCCUCUACUCAGAAGUAAACUGAGUUAUGUAGGGGUUUAUGACCCGGAAAGCGGGUACAGGAUCUGGAUGGCAGCCUUAGAGCUCUGAUCUUAGAGGGGCUUACUCAUAAGUAAAUCUGCAUUCCCUUCAGGCAGGGUGGCGCGCGCCUAGGUAUUUCUUUAUAAAAAAAGGGUUGCAGCUUUAAAGGGAAAAGAGAAACCAAACGCACAGAGAAAAUAUAUAUGUUCAAGGAGUCCCAAGAGAGCAAUUACUCCCAGAGAGGCAAGUUUUUAAAACAAGGAGGCGACGGCCCUCUUUUUAAUUCGGAUUAACACCUCCCGCCAACGAGCAGCGACGGAAUUCGCGCUUGACUCCUUUCCAAAGAUCCCGCGCCUCCCUCCUCCCCGAGGCAGUUUGGCGAGCCGUCGACCAACCAGGCAACCUGGCGCGGAAUCGGGGCCCUUUCUCCCCAACUUGCUCCCACCAUCCCCACCUCCCUCCCUUUCUCCUGCUGCCUGUUCUCGCUAGCCCCUGCCGCCUUUGCGCCUGUAUAAUUAUUAGCCAUUAAUUGGGUU
Molecule: non-coding RNA, 2970 nt
Organism: Zootoca vivipara (common lizard)
Lineage: Eukaryota; Metazoa; Chordata; Lepidosauria; Squamata; Lacertidae
Source: RefSeq, a predicted model, not a curated record